This 189-nucleotide ribosomal RNA is filed under the name Acinetobacter baumannii. RNAcentral describes it as "partial 16S ribosomal RNA". It matches the Rfam family "Bacterial small subunit ribosomal RNA", at positions 49 to 236 of the family's 1533-position model. The record is from RNAcentral. Lineage: Bacteria; Pseudomonadati; Pseudomonadota; Gammaproteobacteria; Moraxellales; Moraxellaceae.
GUCACACAUGCCUAGCUCUAGCGAGGGGUAACGUAGCUUGCUACCAGACCUAGCGGCGGACGGGUGAAUAAUGGUUAGAAUCUGCCUAUUAGUGGGGGACAACAUCUCGAAAGGGAUGCUAAUACCGCAUACGUCCUACGGGAGAAAGCAGGGGAUCUUCGGACCUUGCGCUAAUAGAUGAGCCUAAGU